RNAcentral lists this small RNA (164 nucleotides) under Bacillus sp. (in: firmicutes). RNAcentral's name for it is "Bacillus sp. Guanidine-I sequence". It matches the Rfam family "Guanidine-I riboswitch aptamer". Rfam says of the family: This family represents a conserved RNA structure found upstream of the ykkC and yxkD genes in Bacillus subtilis and related genes in other bacteria. The function of this family is unclear although it has been suggested that it may function to switch on efflux pumps and detoxification systems in response to harmful environmental molecules. RNAcentral also lists the same sequence under 1 other name. The record is from RNAcentral. Lineage: Bacteria; Bacillati; Bacillota; Bacilli; Caryophanales; Bacillaceae.
CGACAAGCUGUCUAGGGUUCCGCUGGUUAGCACAGGCGCACUCCUUUUGAUGAAAGGAAUCGCCGGUUGUUAAGCAGGCCUGGUCCGAGAGACGGCAUAUAGCAGGGCGGUUGUUUUACAGCUUAGCCCGCUAUAGUACACGGAAGGAUAAAAGCCUGGGAGAC